RNAcentral lists this long non-coding RNA (548 nucleotides) under Betta splendens (Siamese fighting fish). RNAcentral's name for it is "lncRNA (ENSBSLG00000015437.1)". Lineage: Eukaryota; Metazoa; Chordata; Actinopteri; Anabantiformes; Osphronemidae. The record is from RNAcentral.
ACCAUCUCAUAAAGUUAAACUACAAGCAAAGCAUGAACUACACACAGAAAGUACAUUUGCUAACCAUGUGUAUUUUUUAUUUUAAUUAGUUUUAUCCAUUUAAACACUGUAAAUUACUUCUAAUCUGUAAACCACCAAAUGACGUCAUUUAACUUUAUUCUAUUGAAGUUAACAAGCAGUGACGUCACUUCCGGUCACUACCUUUAGCUUAAUUGAUAAUUAAACCUAAUUACUGGGCAGCAGGAGCGAAAGGGGAUGCGCUUACUUUCUUCUGCAAAUGUCUUCGAGAAACGCGCCCUGUCUGCUCCCCAGCAGAUGGUCCGAGGGAAGAAGAUGGAGAGGAAAAAAAAAAGAAGAUAAAUGACUGCGUGCAAGAGUUUCAAAAUAGGAGACGGAGAAGCGUUUCGACCCUUUCCCCAUCGUCCACCCUUUGCACCUCUCUCCUCUUGACCAGGUGUGUCUGCUCAGCUGCCGCACGCACAACUGCAUGUUGGAAAGUUUAUCAUUACCUAAUUGCUGCUGUCGACUCCAAUUGGGAUUUUAGGUGA